Molecule: ribosomal RNA, 250 nt
Filed under: uncultured bacterium
Lineage: Bacteria
Description: partial 16S ribosomal RNA
Rfam family: Bacterial small subunit ribosomal RNA
Source: RNAcentral
ACGUAGGGGGCGAGCGUUAUCCGGAUUCAUUGGGCGUAAAGCGCGCGUAGGCGGCCGCGCAGGCGGGGGGUCAAAUCCCGGGGCUCAACCCCGGGCCGCCCCCCGAACCGCGCGGCUUGGGUCCGGCAGGGGAGGGUGGAACGCCCGGUGUAGCGGUGGAAUGCGCAGAUAUCGGGCGGAACACCGGUGGCGAAGGCGGCCCUCUGGGCCGGCACCGACGCUGAGGCGCGAGAGCUAGGGGAGCGAACAG